RNAcentral lists this ribosomal RNA (400 nucleotides) under uncultured bacterium. RNAcentral's name for it is "bacterial SSU rRNA". It matches the Rfam family "Bacterial small subunit ribosomal RNA", at positions 356 to 773 of the family's 1533-position model. The record is from RNAcentral.
GGGGAAUCUUGCGCAAUGGGCGAAAGCCUGACGCAGCAACGCCGCGUGCGGGAUGAAGGCCUUCGGGUUGUAAACCGCUUUCAGCAGGGACGAAAUUGACUGUACCUGCAGAAGAAGCCCCGGCUAACUACGUGCCAGCAGCCGCGGUAAUACGUAGGGGGCAAGCGUUAUCCGGAUUCAUUGGGCGUAAAGAGCGCGUAGGCGGAUUGUUAAGUCAGAUGUGAAAACCGGGGGCUCAACCCGCGGCCUGCAUCUGAAACUGGCAGUCUUGAGUCUGGUAGAGGAGUGUGGAAUUCCCAGUGUAGCGGUGAAAUGCGCAGAUAUUGGGAGGAACACCAGUGGCGAAGGCGGCACUCUGGGCCACGACUGACGCUGAGGCGCGAAAGCUAGGGGAGCAAAC